CUAGACCUGAAAUCAGUCGAGGACACCCGCUGAAUUUAAGCAUAUUAUUAAGCGGAGGAAAAGAAAAUAACUAUGAUUCCCUUAGUAACGGCGAGUGAAGAGGGAGGUGCUCAAAGUGAAAAUCGUGGUACCUCUUAUGGUACCGCGAGUUGUAGCCUCUAGAGGCGUUACCAGUGGAGGGGCAGGUCUAAGUUUCUUGGAACAGACUUUUCAGAG
This 216-nucleotide ribosomal RNA is filed under the name Eimeria ellipsoidalis. Its description in RNAcentral is "partial 28S rRNA". It matches the Rfam family "Eukaryotic large subunit ribosomal RNA", at positions 1 to 208 of the family's 3401-position model. Lineage: Eukaryota; Apicomplexa; Conoidasida; Eucoccidiorida; Eimeriidae. The record is from RNAcentral.